This 380-nucleotide ribosomal RNA is filed under the name uncultured eukaryote. Its description in RNAcentral is "partial 18S ribosomal RNA". It matches the Rfam family "Eukaryotic small subunit ribosomal RNA", at positions 592 to 976 of the family's 1831-position model. The record is from RNAcentral.
CAAUAGCGUAUAUUAAAGUUGUUGCAGUUAAAAAGCUCGUAGUUGGAUUUGUGGCGUACGGUGUGUUCCGGGCACUUGUUGUCUGAGUAACCUGCUGUUGCCAUCCUUGGGUGGAACCUGUGUGGCAUUAGGUUGUCGUGCAGGGGAUGCCCAUCAUUUACUGUGAAAAAAUUAGAGUGUUCAAAGCAGGCUUAUGCCGUUGAAUAUAUUAGCAUGGAAUAAUGAGAUAGGACUUUUUUGCUAUUUUGUUGGUUUGCGCAAGAAGGUAAUGAUUAAUAGGGACAGUUGGGGGUAUUCGUAUUCCAUUGUCAGAGGUGAAAUUCUUGGAUUUUUGGAAGACGAACUACUGCAAAAGCAUUUACCAAGGAUGUUUUCAUUAA